GCCAUCUUGGAUCAUCUGGGAGCAGCGGCGCUCUUGCUGCCGCUGUUGCUACUGAUUGAGGGAGCAAAGGGAACUCGUUUGGCGGCGGCGCGGCGGCAGAGGGUUCUCCUCUUUUCCACCCAGCGAGUCUCCAGGCUGUGGCGGAAGAGUCUUUCUCCUUGGGCCUGAGCCGGCCUCUUUGGGGUUGGGGUAGGCGGCAAAGAGGAGUUGGGAGUUCUGCUGGAGAAGAAGGAAGAGGAGGGGGCGCAAUUAAAACAUGAGAGCCGAGGCCCGAUGAAGCGAUCCGCGUAGAGAUAGAAAGGUUGAGGGGCUCGGCCCGCUCCUUUGACCAACUCUGGGUGGCUCCUUGCUGCUUUCGCAGCCGACAGUGGUUGCGCGGAAAGCGACUGUUGGUUUCUCACUUCCCUUCCUCAGCAGCCUGCUAGUUGGGCUGUAUUGCUGCAGCGCCCUGCACUCUCGCGUGCUGCUCCAUCUCUCCCGCUCGCGAGUUGCUAGUUCGUUCCCCGCUUUCUCUUCCUCUUACGGCACCGGGCAAUUUUUGGCCCAUGUUUUCUUUUGGUGCUCCAUGAGAAUCUUCUCUAAUCUGUCAUCCCCAACUUCUAAGGACCGUAAUCUGUCUAUAGGAUGAUUCCUGAAGAUUCCCAGGGGAAUACAAUGCUCCAUUAUCAGACUGGAAUAUAGAUGAGAAAGAGGGGUAGCGGUGGUGGAGGAAAAAACUCAAAUUUCUCUCCCCACACUCCCUUUUUCUUGAUGGUGGCACUUGAUAACCGCUAUCAUGCUGUAAAAUCACAUUUUUUUGUAAAUAUAUAUAUAUGUAUUUGGAGGGAGGGAGGUGUUAGGAUUUUUUUUUAUUUUUAUAUAAUACAUAGCUGGAUUUUGCCAUUGCAAACGGUGCUUCAGCUUAAGUGAAUGAAAAUGUCCACUAGAACUCCAUUGCCCACGGUGAAUGAACGCGACACUGAAAAUGAUGCUGGAACAUCUGUAGGGGAAAGCUUUUGUGAAAAGAAAGAACAACAACACUGAAAUUCAUGUACAGUGGUACCUCGGGAUACGAACGCCUCUACUAACGAACUUUUCGGGUUACAACC
Python bivittatus (Burmese python) is the source of this 1088-nucleotide non-coding RNA. Lineage: Eukaryota; Metazoa; Chordata; Lepidosauria; Squamata; Pythonidae. The record is from RefSeq and is a predicted model, not a curated record.